Long non-coding RNA from Oreochromis aureus, 221 nucleotides. RefSeq lists it as uncharacterized. The transcript is spliced from 3 exons. The record is from RefSeq and is a predicted model, not a curated record. Lineage: Eukaryota; Metazoa; Chordata; Actinopteri; Cichliformes; Cichlidae.
CUGGCAAGUACACGGCAAGUAACACAAUGUCCCACCAUGAAGUCACUGAAGUCACUGAAGCCAUCAAGCCACUGUGCCAACAGCACUUCUCUAUAAGCUGGAUGGAAAAGGUUGCACAGUGGGCCGGUUUGAUGGACCAUGAGACAGGACAAGAAGAGAAAACCCAGGCAUUUGAGAGAACGGGGAGAAUCUCAUCGAACCUGUGCAGCGAGAGUUUGGAC